RNAcentral lists this ribosomal RNA (484 nucleotides) under uncultured bacterium. Its description in RNAcentral is "partial 16S ribosomal RNA". It matches the Rfam family "Bacterial small subunit ribosomal RNA", at positions 30 to 507 of the family's 1533-position model. The record is from RNAcentral.
AUUGAACGCCGGCGGCAGGCCUAACACAUGCAAGUCGAGCGGAUGAAUGGAGCUUGCUCCUGGAUUCAGCGGCGGACGGGUGAGUAAUGCCUAGGAAUCUGCCUGGUAGUGGGGGAUAACGUCCGGAAACGGGCGCUAAUACCGCAUACGUCCUGAGGGAGAAAGUGGGGGAUCUUCGGACCUCACGCUAUCAGAUGAGCCUAGGUCGGAUUAGCUAGUUGGUGGGGUAAAGGCCUACCAAGGCGACGAUCCGUAACUGGUCUGAGAGGAUGAUCAGUCACACUGGAACUGAGACACGGUCCAGACUCCUACGGGAGGCAGCAGUGGGGAAUAUUGGACAAUGGGCGAAAGCCUGAUCCAGCCAUGCCGCGUGUGUGAAGAAGGUCUUCGGAUUGUAAAGCACUUUAAGUUGGGAGGAAGGGCAGUAAGUUAAUACCUUGCUGUUUUGACGUUACCAACAGAAUAAGCACCGGCUAACUUCGUG